GACGAACGCUGGCGGCGUGCUUAACACAUGCAAGUCGAGCGGUAAGGCCCUUUCGGGGGUACGACGAGCGGCGAACGGGUGAGUAACACGUGGGUGACCUGCCCUCAGCUCUGGGAUAAGCCUGGGGAAACUGGGUCUAAUACCGGAUAUGACUCCAUGACGCAUGUUGUGGGGGUGGAAAGCCUUGUGCGGCUGAGGAUGGGGCCCGCGGCCUAUCAGCUUGUUGGGGGGGUGA
This 235-nucleotide ribosomal RNA is filed under the name uncultured bacterium. RNAcentral describes it as "partial 16S ribosomal RNA". It matches the Rfam family "Bacterial small subunit ribosomal RNA", at positions 28 to 260 of the family's 1533-position model. The record is from RNAcentral.